CACGAAUGGGCCCGAGGAGCUGGCUGCCCCUUCCCCCGCGUAAGGGCCUUGGCUGAUUAUGAGGGGAAGGAUGUGGCCACCAGGGUCGGAGAGGCCUGGCAGGAGAGGCCUGGAGCUCCAAGAGGUGGCCAAGGAGACCCAGCUGUACCCGCUCAGCAACCUGCAGAUCCCAGCACCCCAGAGCGGCAGAGCAGCCCCAGCGGAUCUGAGCAACUUGUCAGACGAGAGAGUUGUGGCAGCAGCGUGUUGACUGAUUUUGAGGGGAAGGAUGUGGCCACCAAGGUCGGAGAGGCCUGGCAGGACAGGCCUGGAGCCCCAAGAGGUGGCCAAGGAGACCCAGCUGUACCCACUCAGCAACCUGCAGAUCCCAGUACCCCAGAACAGCAGAACAGCCCCAGCGGAUCUGAGCAAUUCGUCAGACGAGAGAGCUGCACCAGCAGGGUGAGGAGCCCCUCGAGCUGCAUGGUCACUGUUACUGUCACUGCCACAUCUGAGCAGCCUCACAUUUAUAUUCCAGCCCCCGCAAGUGAAUUGGACUCCAGCUCUACCACCAAAGGGAUUCUCUUCGUGAAGGAGUACGUGAAUGCUAGUGAAGUGUCUUCUGGGAAGCCAGUAUCUGCA
RNAcentral lists this long non-coding RNA (621 nucleotides) under Homo sapiens (human). RNAcentral's name for it is "HSALNT0287511". Lineage: Eukaryota; Metazoa; Chordata; Mammalia; Primates; Hominidae. The record is from RNAcentral.